This 472-nucleotide ribosomal RNA is filed under the name uncultured Desulfotomaculum sp. RNAcentral describes it as "bacterial SSU rRNA". It matches the Rfam family "Bacterial small subunit ribosomal RNA", at positions 916 to 1381 of the family's 1533-position model. The record is from RNAcentral. Lineage: Bacteria; Bacillati; Bacillota; Clostridia; Eubacteriales; Desulfotomaculaceae.
GACGGGGCCCGCACAAGCGGUGGAGCAUGUGGUUAAUUCGACGCAACGCGAAGAACCUUACCAGGGCUUGACAUCCCCUGACCGUCUAUGAAAGUAGGCUUUCUACCUUCGGGUAGACAGGGAGACAGGUGGUGCAUGGUUGUCGUCAGCUCGUGUCGUGAGAUGUUGGGUUAAGUCCCGCAACGAGCGCAACCCUUACGGUUAGUUGCCAGCGGGUUAUGCCGGGCACUCUAGCUGAACUGCCGUUGACAAAACGGAGGAAGGUGGGAUGACGUCAAAUCAUCAUGCCCUUUAUGUCCUGGGCUACACACGUGCUACAAUGGCCUGUACAGAGGGAAGCGAAAGGGUGACCUGGAGCGAAUCCCAAAAAGCAGGUCUCAGUUCGGAUUGCAGGCUGCAACCCGCCUGCAUGAAGUCGGAAUCGCUAGUAAUCGCAGGUCAGCAUACUGUGGUGAAUACGUUCCCGGGCCUU